UCGAGCAGGGACGAAAGUCGGGCUUAGUGAUCCGGAGGUUCCCCAUGGAAGGGCCAUCGCUCAACGGAUAAAAGCUACCCUGGGGAUAACACGCUUAUCUCCCCCAAGAGUCCACAUCGACGGGGAGGUUUGGCACCUCGAUGUCGGCUCGGCGCAUCCUGGGGCUGUAGUCGGUCCCAACGGUUGGGCUGUUCGCCCAUUAGAGCGGCACGCGAGCUGGGUGCAGAACGU
RNAcentral lists this ribosomal RNA (231 nucleotides) under Enterococcus faecium. Its description in RNAcentral is "partial 23S ribosomal RNA". It matches the Rfam family "Bacterial large subunit ribosomal RNA", at positions 2389 to 2619 of the family's 2925-position model. The record is from RNAcentral. Lineage: Bacteria; Bacillati; Bacillota; Bacilli; Lactobacillales; Enterococcaceae.